Molecule: small RNA, 591 nt
Filed under: Pan troglodytes (chimpanzee)
Lineage: Eukaryota; Metazoa; Chordata; Mammalia; Primates; Hominidae
Description: retained intron
Source: RNAcentral
UCUGUGUUUAUAUUUGCAAGUAUCAAACAUGUCAGUAGAAUUUAGAUAAUUUUUUGAUCAGAGGAGGGGAUACCAACUGGAGCCUGACCUAUCAGAAGAAGUGUCGGCCCGACUCCGCCUGGGCAGUGGAAGUAAUGGCUUACUCAGGAGGAAAGUGUCAAUAAUUGAGACAAAGGAAAAGACUUGCUCUGGCAAAGAGAGGGACAGAAGAACGGACGAUCUCCUUGAACUUACAGAGGACAUGGAAAAGGAAAUCAGUAAUGCCCUAGGCCAUGGCCCACAGGAUGAAAUCCUAAGUAGUGCUUUCAAAUUGCGAAUUACUCGAGGAGAUAUUCAGACAUUAAAGAACUAUCACUGGCUCAAUGAUGAAGUCAUUAAUUUUUACAUGAAUCUUCUGGUGGAAAGAAAUAAAAAGCAAGGCUAUCCAGCACUUCAUGUAUUCAGUACUUUCUUCUAUCCUAAAUUAAAGUCUGGGGGUUACCAAGCAGUGAAACGAUGGACCAAAGGGGUAAAUCUCUUUGAACAAGAAAUUAUCCUGGUGCCUAUUCAUCGGAAGGUACAUUGGAGCCUGGUGGUGAGUAGAGAGGGUUA